Molecule: ribosomal RNA, 1046 nt
Filed under: marine metagenome
Description: bacterial SSU rRNA
Rfam family: Bacterial small subunit ribosomal RNA
Source: RNAcentral
UGAGGUAAAGGCUCACCAAGGCGACGAUCUUUAGCUGGUCUGAGAGGACGAUCAGCCACAUGGGACUGAGACACGGCCCAGACUCUACGGGAGGCAGCAGUGGGGAAUAUUGGACAAUGGGCGCAAGCCUGAUCCAGCCAUACCGCGUGUGUGAAGAAGGCUUCGGGUUGUAAAGCACUUUAAGCAGGGAGAAAAAGUUAUAAGUUAAUACCUUAUAACCCUGAUGUUACCUGCAGAAUAAGCACCGGCUAAUUCCGUGCCAGCAGCCGCGGUAAUACGGAAGGUGCAAGCGUUAAUCGGAAUUACUGGGCGUAAAGCGCGCGUAGGUGGUUUGUUAAGUUGGAUGUGAAAGCCCUGGGCUCAACCUAGGAACUGCAUCCAAAACUAACUCACUAGAGUACGAUAGAGGGAGGUAGAAUUCAUAGUGUAGCGGUGGAAUGCGUAGAUAUUAUGAAGAAUACCAGUGGCGAAGGCGGCCUCCUGGAUCUGUACUGACACUGAGGUGCGAAAGCGUGGGUAGCGAACAGGAUUAGAUACCCUGGUAGUCCACGCCGUAAACGAUGACAACUAGCUGUUGGGAGACAAUGUCUUUCAGUGGCGCAGCUAACGUUUUAAGUUGUCCGCCUGGGGAGUACGGCCGCAAGGCUAAAACUCAAAUGAAUUGACGGGGACCCGCACAAGCGGUGGAGCAUGUGGUUUAAUUCGAUGCAACGCGAAAAACCUUACCUACUCUUGACAUACUUGGGAGCUCUUGUAAUGAGAGUGUGCCUUAUGGAACCAAGAUACAGGUGCUGCAUGGCUGUCGUCAGCUCGUGUCGUGAGAUGUUCCGUUAAGUCGGAUAACGAGCGCAACCCUUACCCUUAUUUGCCAGCGAUUCGGUCGGGAACUAUAAGGGGACUGCCGGUGAUAAACCGGAGGAAGGUGAGGACGACGUCAAGUCAUCAUGGCCCUUACGAGUAGGGCUACACACGUGCUACAAUGGGGAAUACAGACGGACGCUAAGCCGCGAGGUGGUGCUAAUCCUAGAAAGUUUCUCGUAGUCCGG